CGGACGGGUGAGUAACGCGUGGAAAACCUGCCGUAUACUGGGGGAUAACACUUAGAAAUAGGUGCUAAUACCGCAUAAGCGCACAGCUUCGCAUGAAGCGGUGUGAAAAACUCUGGUGGUAUACGAUGGUUCCGCGUCUGAUUAGCUAGUUGGUGGGGUAAUGGCCUACCAAGGCAACGAUCAGCAGCCGGCCUGAGAGGGUGAACGGCCACAUUGGGACUGAGACACGGCCCAAACUCCUACGGAAGGCAGCAG
This 255-nucleotide ribosomal RNA is filed under the name uncultured bacterium. Its description in RNAcentral is "partial 16S ribosomal RNA". It matches the Rfam family "Bacterial small subunit ribosomal RNA", at positions 99 to 354 of the family's 1533-position model. The record is from RNAcentral.